UGCAGCUUGGUAACUGCAGUUUGCAGCAUGCAUUGCUGUCCUGCGACCACUUUGCAACCUUUCACUGUAAAUCAAGAGAAGGAAGACAAGUCAAUGGAGAUGGAAGGACGAAGUGACAGGGCUGGUGAGAAAGACUUAGCAGAUUUUACCAGAAGUCACACUUGUGUGGAUGAAGAGGUUAGAUAAGUUUCUUAGUAAAGGAAACAGAACACUUCUUUCUGUGUACACUGAAGACUGUCUGUGGAAGCCAGCCGCCACAAGACACACCACACCCUUUCCACAAGAAACCAAGACUUCGUGGACCCAAGCUUGCCUGUUUUGUCAGUAUCUUUGGGGUCAAAGAUGCAGAGAAAUGAAAUCACACCCCUACAAUACAUCAUUCUGUGACUGUGUGAUGUCUUUGAGACUUUACCCAGGACUUUAUUCUUUCUAAAGGCUCAUAGUAUUCUACUGUCUUUACGAACCCUGUGGUACUUUAAUGUCUCCCAUUACUUUUGGGCAUUUGAAUCCUUGGUUUCCAGAUGGUGAAACUCUUUGGGGGAGGUUUAGGAUGUGUGGCUUUGCUAGAGGAAGUGUUGUCCCUGGGGGGUGAGCUUUAAGAGUUUAAACCCUCAAGUCACUUCCAGUUAACUCUCUUUGCUUUGUGGAUGUGUCCGACUUUCCGAGUUUGAAUCCCGUCCCUGUGACUCUCAGUGAGUCUCAUGGAAAAAAAAAAAAUAAAGAACGUGGGCAGCACAGUCCCAUGGGAUGAAUAUUUGU
This is a long non-coding RNA of Arvicanthis niloticus (Nile rat), 759 nucleotides long. RefSeq lists it as uncharacterized. The record is from RefSeq and is a predicted model, not a curated record. NCBI's taxonomy places the organism in Eukaryota, Metazoa, Chordata, Mammalia, Rodentia, Muridae.